UCGGUUCUCAACCACCCUCCAGCUGCGGUUCCGCACGCGAGAAGAGACUGGAGAACUAUUUCGUCUGGUGGAUCAGCACCAUCGCGAGUACAUAAUUCUACAGAUAAUUGACAAAACAAUCCAGGUGAGGAUGAAUCUACACGGUUUAAGACCAAGAGAGGAAGUGAUCAGCUUGGAUCAUGUAAAUGUCAGUGAUGGAGCGUGGCAUGCAGUAAAGGUCAGUCGCCACGGAUCUACACUGAUGCUCCAGCUAGAUGGAGGGGAAGGACGGAAGUACAACGAGAGUUUCCGU
Homalodisca vitripennis (glassy-winged sharpshooter) is the source of this 292-nucleotide long non-coding RNA. RefSeq lists it as uncharacterized. NCBI's taxonomy places the organism in Eukaryota, Metazoa, Arthropoda, Insecta, Hemiptera, Cicadellidae. The record is from RefSeq and is a predicted model, not a curated record. The transcript has 3 exons.